GCAGGAACGCGAGUCCUUUGGGACUUCAACUUCUUGAUCUCAAAUCAGGUAGGAUUACCCGCUGAACUUAAG
RNAcentral lists this ribosomal RNA (72 nucleotides) under Basidiobolus sp. ARSEF 263. Its description in RNAcentral is "partial 28S ribosomal RNA". Lineage: Eukaryota; Fungi; Basidiobolomycota; Basidiobolomycetes; Basidiobolales; Basidiobolaceae. The record is from RNAcentral.